GAGUUUGAUCUUGGCUCAGAUUGAACGCUGGCGGCAGGCCUAACACAUGCAAGUCGAGCGGAUGACGGGAGCUUGCUCCUUGAUUCAGCGGCGGACGGGUGAGUAAUGCCUAGGAAUCUGCCUGGUAGUGGGGGGCAACGUUUCGAAAGGAACGCUAAUACCGCAUACGUCCUACGGGAGAAAGCAGGGGACCUUCGGGCCUUGCGCUAUCAGAUGAGCCUAGGUCGGAUUAGCUAGUUGGUGGGGUAAUGGCUCACCAAGGCGACGAUCCGUAACUGGUCUGAGAGGAUGAUCAGUCACACUGGAACUGAGACACGGUCCAGACUCCUACGGGAGGCAGCAGUGGGGAAUAUUGGACAAUGGGCGAAAGCCUGAUCCAGCCAUGCCGCGUGUGUGAAGAAGGUCUUCGGAUUGUAAAGCACUUUAAGUUAGGGAGGAAGGGCAGUAAGUUAAUACCUUGCUGUUUCGACGUUACCGACAGAAAUAAGCACCGGCUAACUACUGUGCCAGCAGCC
This 515-nucleotide ribosomal RNA is filed under the name bacterium enrichment culture clone ALO1_GLFRUDD03HJ2DY. Its description in RNAcentral is "bacterial SSU rRNA". It matches the Rfam family "Bacterial small subunit ribosomal RNA", at positions 9 to 516 of the family's 1533-position model. The record is from RNAcentral.